ACACCGUUCCAUGAUUCCAUGUGCCAACCUCUCCCUUUCCUUCUCUGUCUCUCUCCUGUCUCUCAGCGCUAAAUCCCAGGAACAUCCACCCUCGUUCCCCGUGCCCCUCCAUCCCUUUUCCAGGCUCCUCUUCCAGCCUUUCCUGACCUCUCUACCUUUCUUUGUGCCCCAGAUGAGUUUCCUGCUCCCCCGAAGCCCCUGAAGGCCUCAGACCUGGAUGACGGGCUCGGAUUCCUGCCGACCUUCGGUCCCUGCUACAUCAACCUCUACGGGAGCCCCCGGGAAUUCACGGGAUUCCCCGAUCCCUACGAGAGCCUCAACCUGGGAAAGGGAGAGGGCGUUGCCUACCGGGGCAGGGUGCUGGUGGAGCUGGAGACCAAACUGGUGGAGCACCUGGAGCAGAAGGUGGAGGAUAUUCCAGCGGAUGACGUCCUGAGGGUGGAGAAGUUCCUGCGCCGCCGGAAAUAUUCCCUGUUCGCCGCCUUCUACUCGGCCACGAUGCUGCCGAGCGUGGAGGCCGCGGUGCAGUUCGAGGUCAGCAUCGGCAACUACGGCAACAAGUUCGACACCACGUGCCUGCCCCUGGCCUCCACCACCCAGUACAGCAGGGCCGUGUU
Long non-coding RNA from Corapipo altera (White-ruffed manakin), 617 nucleotides. RefSeq lists it as uncharacterized. NCBI's taxonomy places the organism in Eukaryota, Metazoa, Chordata, Aves, Passeriformes, Pipridae. The record is from RefSeq and is a predicted model, not a curated record. The transcript is spliced from 4 exons.